Molecule: ribosomal RNA, 445 nt
Filed under: uncultured bacterium
Lineage: Bacteria
Description: partial 16S ribosomal RNA
Rfam family: Bacterial small subunit ribosomal RNA
Source: RNAcentral
GUGAGGAAUAUUGCGCAAUGGAGGCAACUCUGACGCAGCCAUGCCGCGUGCAGGAAGAAGGCGCUACGCGUUGUAAACUGCUUUUAACCGGGAAGAAACCCCAGGACGUGUCCUGGGUUGACGGUACCGGAGGAAUAAGCACCGGCUAACUUCGUGCCAGCAGCCGCGGUAAUACGAAGGGUGCAAGCGUUAUCCGGAUUCAUUGGGUUUAAAGGGUGCGUAGGCGGAGCGUAAAGUCAGUGGUGAAAUCCUGCAGCUUAACUGUAGACGUGCCAUUGAUACUGGCGCUCUUGAGUGCGCUUGAAGUGGGCGGAAUGUGCCGUGUAGCGGUGAAAUGCUUAGAUAUGGCACAGAACACCAAUUGCGAAGGCAGCUCACUAAGGCGAUACUGACGCUGAGGCACGAAAGCGUGGGGAUCGAACAGGAUUAGAUACCCUAGUAGUCC